GCCGAUACCUGGGAUUUGUUAACGAGUAGUAAACCUUGCAAGGAGAAAAACCGCAGCUUUGCCAGAACUGCUGUCAGAUGGGAAAAAGGACAGUGAGCUUAUAGAAGGCACUGGAAAUAUGGAUGGAG
This is a long non-coding RNA of Mustela erminea (ermine), 128 nucleotides long. RefSeq lists it as uncharacterized. The transcript has 2 exons. The record is from RefSeq and is a predicted model, not a curated record. NCBI's taxonomy places the organism in Eukaryota, Metazoa, Chordata, Mammalia, Carnivora, Mustelidae.